GAGGAGAAGAUCGAGGUGGGCUGGGGAGGGCUCUGGGGGCUUGGGCUCACAGCCCGGAUCCCAGCCCACUCAUCUUGGCCACUCUCCUU
This 89-nucleotide microRNA precursor is filed under the name Callithrix jacchus (white-tufted-ear marmoset). RNAcentral's name for it is "microRNA cja-mir-3940 precursor". The record is from miRBase by way of RNAcentral. Lineage: Eukaryota; Metazoa; Chordata; Mammalia; Primates; Cebidae.